ACAUAACUGAUGCCUCCGCGUAUCGACUUUGUGCGCAUUUUAGCUAUUAUGUGUUCUUUUAAUUAAAAUGAUUCUUUUUAAGAUUCAUCUAUUAAAAAUUUGCUUCGGCAUAAUUUUUUUUGAUGAUCUUGUUACUUUGAGUAAAUUAGGGUGUUCAAAGCAAACAGAUAUAGCAUUUGUGCGUUUGAAUACUACAGCAUGGAAUAACAAAAUUGAACAAGUCAGAAUUUUUUUGUUCUUUUUUCUUAUUUUGGCUUAGUUACGAUUAAUAGGAGUAGCUUGGGGGCAUUUGUAUUCAGAUGUCAGAGGUGAAAUUCUUAGAUUUUCUGGAGACAAACAACUGCGAAAGCAUUUGCCUAAAAUACUUCCAUUAAUCAAGAACGAAAGUUAAGGGAGUGAAGACGAUCAGAUACCGUCGUAAUCUUAACCAUAAACUAUGCCGACUAGGCUUUGGAUGAAAGAUUUUAAAAUAAGAGUUUUUCUUUUCUCUCCGGAGAUUAGAACUCUUAGAUUGCUUCCUUCAGUGCCUUAUGAGAAAUCAAAGUCUUUGGGUUCUGGGGCGAGUAUUCGCGCAAGCGAGAAAGUUAAAAGAAUUGACGGAAGGGCACCACCAGGCGUGGAGCUUGCGGCUUAAUUUGACUCAACACGGGAAAACUCACUAGUUUAAGACAAGAGUAGGAUUGACAGAUUAAUAGCUCUUUCUUGAUUUCUUGGAUGGUGAUGCAUGGCCGUUUUUAGUUCGUGAAUAUGAUUUGUCUGGUUAAUUCCGAUAACGAACGAGAUCUUAACCUGCUAAUUAGCGGCAAAUACGAUAUAUUCUUAUGUAGAAUUGAAUAUAGUGGAUUUGUUGGAUUUUGAAGAAAAUAUUGGAAUUACGUUAAAUGUGAUUCCUUUCCCUUUUCUACUUAAUUUACAUUUCCAUCUAUUUCUUUUUUGCGUAUGAAUGUAUUUGCUUGAUUGUAAAGCUUCUUAGAGGAACGAUGUGUG
This 987-nucleotide ribosomal RNA is filed under the name Plasmodium knowlesi. RNAcentral's name for it is "SSU rRNA". It matches the Rfam family "Eukaryotic small subunit ribosomal RNA", at positions 638 to 1428 of the family's 1831-position model. Lineage: Eukaryota; Apicomplexa; Aconoidasida; Haemosporida; Plasmodiidae. The record is from RNAcentral.